AGUGAGGAAUAUUGGUCAAUGGGCGAGAGCCUGAACCAGCCAUCCCGCGUGCAGGAAGAAUGCCCUAUGGGUUGUAAACUGCUUUUUCGCAUGAAGAACACCUCUGACGUGUCAGAGGCUGACGGUAAUGCGUGAAUAAGCACCGGCUAACUCCGUGCCAGCAGCCGCGGUAAUACGGAGGGUGCAAGCGUUAUCCGGAUUUAUUGGGUUUAAAGGGUGCGUAGGCGGCGAUUUAAGUCAGUGGUGAAAUCCUGCAGCUCAACUGUAGAACAGCCAUUGAAACUGAAUUGCUUGAGUAAUCUUGAGGUAGGCGGAAUGUGUAGUGUAGCGGUGAAAUGCUUAGAUAUUACACAGAACACCGAUUGCGAAGGCAGCUUACUAAGGAUUUACUGACGCUGAUGCACGAAAGCGUGGGGAUCAAACAGGAUUAGAUACCCUGGUAGUCCACGCCGUAAACGAUGAUAACUCGCUGUUGGCGAUAUACAGUCAGC
RNAcentral lists this ribosomal RNA (491 nucleotides) under uncultured bacterium. RNAcentral's name for it is "bacterial SSU rRNA". It matches the Rfam family "Bacterial small subunit ribosomal RNA", at positions 353 to 844 of the family's 1533-position model. The record is from RNAcentral.